AGUGGGGAAUAUUGCGCAAUGGACGGAAGUCUGACGCAGCGACGCCGCGUGAGCGACGAAGGCCUUCGGGUCGUAAAGCUCUGUUCUUGGGGACGAAAAAGAUGACGGUACCCAAGGAGCAAGCCCCGGCUAACUACGUGCCAGCAGCCGCGGUAAUACGUAGGGGGCGAGCGUUGUCCGGAAUUACUGGGCGUAAAGGGCGUGUAGGCGGCUGAGUAAGUCAGGUGUGAAAGGCCACGGCUUAACCGUGGUACUGCACAUGAAACUGCUCAGCUUGAGUGCAGGAGAGGGAAGUGGAAUUCCUAGUGUAGCGGUGAAAUGCGUAGAUAUUAGGAGGAACACCAGUGGCGAAGGCGACUUUCUGGACUGUAACUGACGCUGAGGCGCGAAAGCGUGGGGAGCAAACAGGAUUAGAUACCCUGGUAGUCCACGCUGUAAACGAUGGGUACUAGGUGUGGGCAGUUCACACUGUCCGUGCCGUAGCAAACGCAAUAAGUAUCCCGCCUGGGGAGUACGGCCGCAAGGUUG
Molecule: ribosomal RNA, 528 nt
Filed under: uncultured bacterium
Lineage: Bacteria
Description: bacterial SSU rRNA
Rfam family: Bacterial small subunit ribosomal RNA
Source: RNAcentral